Molecule: non-coding RNA, 396 nt
Organism: Paramuricea clavata
Lineage: Eukaryota; Metazoa; Cnidaria; Anthozoa; Malacalcyonacea; Plexauridae
Source: the annotation of a GenBank genome assembly
CCGUAAGUGAAUUUAAGUGAAUGAGAAACUCAGCACAAUGUGAAAAUGAAAAGUUUGAUAUAGAUUUGCAGCAACGAAUGGACGAGCAAACUCCAAAUAAAAACAACAACAAACUUUAUUGCAAAAGCUUAGUGGAAUUCACAAGUUAGAUAAAACUUCAAAAGUUUACAAAGGCCUAGCAACAGCUGACGUAGAGGUAGGAAAUUUCAAGAAAAUCCAGUUUUCUCCGGUUAAAUUAAAGGUUAUCCUACGGAUAGUUAAACGCGGUACUAAACGGGCUUCGUACAACGCAAUUUUAUCGGCCGUUUAACUAUCCGCUGGAUAAGAAAUUUAUACGCUGGAUAGCGGCUAAACACCGUUUAAGUUAAACGCCUUUGAUACAACCGGCCCCAGAAG